Mirounga angustirostris (Northern elephant seal) is the source of this 3171-nucleotide long non-coding RNA. RefSeq lists it as uncharacterized. Lineage: Eukaryota; Metazoa; Chordata; Mammalia; Carnivora; Phocidae. The transcript is spliced from 2 exons. The record is from RefSeq and is a predicted model, not a curated record.
CCCCGGAAGCCGCGCGGAGCCGAGGGCGGGUGUGGGCACGGCCACUCCCGCCUGCGCCCUCCCGGGCAAGUGCAGGUCCUGGCUCCCAGUCCAUCCCGGGAGGUUUACGCCCGGCGCGCGCCUGCCUGGGGCAGGGCUGCCCCCGGUCUAGGAAAGGCUUACGCUGUCUCUCCCGCGGGUUUAUUGAGCCUGUCUCUGGGAACUUAGUAAGUAAGGGAGGGGAGAGCUGUGGCCAGCGCCUGGAUGCUGUGAGCAUGUAACAGGGAAACCCAGUUUAGAUUGCAAUCAGAAAGCCUGUUUUGAAUGGCUUUGACAUUUGAGGGAGGGUGGGGGAAACUCCUUAUUCAACGGAGAUGGAAGGGAGGAAGGAAGGGAUCACGGAUGACCCCGAGUUGAGCACCGUUCUCUAAGAUAAAGAGGCUUGAGAAGUUUGGCAGGGAAGUGGUGAAGAUCAAGAGUUGCGUUUUGGACAUGUGAAUCCGAGGAGAAAUGACAUCUGCAUAGAUGGAUAUGUGGGGCUGAAGCUCACCAAGAGUGACAAGGCUGGAGAUAGUAAUCAGUAUCGGAAUACUGAUGGUAUUUGAAGCCGUGGAAUUGGAUGGCAUUGCCUCCCAUAGAGCCAUAAAGUGAAAAAACCAACCUGCAGAGGCUGAGAAGAGGAAUCAGUAAAGGACAACAAGCAGAGCCGGCCAGAGAAGUACACAGAAACCUAGGGGUGGGGGAGGCCUCUGGGGCUGAGUGAAGAACUGUUUCAGGAGAUGGGGUAAGUCCACUUUGACAAAGGCUGCUGAGAAGUCAGAGAGAGUGCUGAAAAGUGUCCCCCACUUUUACCCCAAGGAAGACACUGAUACUUGCAUGGGGGGACCAUCACUGCAGGGACUGGGAGGCAGAGCCACAGGGCAGGCAGCGGGUUGGAAUGAGAAUGGGAAGUGAGGAAGAGGUGAUAGGCAGCAGAUUCCUAGUAACCGAUCUGGAGAAGCUUGUCCCUGAGAGGAGCGGAGGAAUGGACAUGGAGGUGGCCCAGGGUGGGAGGAAGUAGGAAUGAGUUAGGUUUUUCAAAUGAAAGCAGCAGCAAGGCCGUGCAUACUGUACUGAGCAUAAGAACAUUCCAAGUCUCUUGUGGAGCCCAGGAAUCUGUAGAGGCCAGGGACCUCUGAGACAGAGUUGGAGGAUUAUAUUUAUGAACAGCGGACUGCGGCAUCUUUGUGUGAGAAUGGUUUAGCAGAGAGACAACGAUGGAAUAUACAGAGAAGACGAGAUAUCCAAGUGAGGAUCACAGAAUCAUUCCACCCACGUCCUGCCGUCACCUAUCAGCAUACGUGCGGAAGACCCAUCCCACCCCAUGCUGUCCCCCCAGCUGCUCCCCUGCGACCAUUCUUCACCACCUCCAGGAGCCUCCUUUGUCCUACCUUUUCUGCCCAGUCUAUUGCCCCCUCCUUCCCUUCCCUCCUCAUCCAGCUGCAAUUCCGUGUUCCUCCAUGCCAGUACUGGUUUUGCUGUUACCCUCAACAUCCUUGCUCCUCGGUCCUUGUCACACUCGCCUGACAGAGCCUGAGCCCAGAUGCACUCCACCUGCGUUCUCUGCACCUGCCCCUGCAGGAGGAGCGGCACAGCCGGGCAGCAGCAGCGGUAGGAACGCCAACGGCCCUCGGUCCUGCCUGGCUCUCCUCCAUUCCCUGCAAAGACACGGCCAAGCCUUCUCCGCUCUCCUCAGCCUGCCUGCAGCCCUUCCCAGACACCUACCUGGCCUCUGCUUAUGGGGAAAAGCGAAGUCAUCAGACGGUAACGCAUGGUCCAGCCCACCAUUGCUGCCCCUCCGCCUUUCCUAGCCUCCAUGGAGCCAGAAAAAUGCCUGUCCUGCCCAAGAAAGUCUUCAGAUCCCAUUUCGCACUUUCUCAGAAAACUUAAGGUGUUGAUUAUCACACCUCUCCUCACAACCUGGCUCCUAGAAAUGGUCUUCCACUUUGCUGCUCUCUUUCUUCUUAAAAACACAACAACUGAGCUGAAGACAAACACAAAAAAACUUUCCUGAAACCCUUAUGUGUCUCCAGCUAUGACCCCCUUUCUCUCCUUCACAGCACACUUCUCCGAAGAGUUGUGAUGCUCUGCCCCCACUUCCCCAACCUUACCCCACUCCAGUUUGCCUUCGGCCCCAUCACUGGAAACAAAAGAGCGCUCAUGAAGGUCCCCAGGGAGCUCCAUGUCACUAUGUUCAUGACAACUUUUCAGUCAUUUUAUGGACUCCGUACCUUUUAAUCACUCCCUCAUUCUCAUGAAACUUUGUUGAUAUUUAUGUUGGUCCUUCCUUGAGUAAAUCUGUUCCUGUUGUACACGAGAUCCACGAGGGGAGGGCUGUGUGUCUGUACUGCGGUCUGUCCCUCGGCCCUUACAUCCAGUUGCCUACUUCUUCUCACCUCCACUAGGGUGCCUCAGAGCACUUGGAAACCAGCAUCUCUAAACCAACCCUCCUGACCUUCGCCACCAGGGUCCUCUCUCAGGGUCCCAUAUCCCUGUCAGUGGCACCUCCGCCCACGCAAGUGCACAAAUCAAGAAGCUGGAGUCAUCCUGGACACUUCUCACCCUCUUACCAUCCCCCAUGCCCAAAGGCCAAUAGACCAUCGAUAAGGAAAAUCUGGAGAUUGAGGAACCCCCAUGGUUCACUACUCCAACCUUCCCUACAGAAGAGCAUAUUUGGAACAAGAGCCCCACAAGAAUGUUGGCCAAGAGCAGGGAGGAAGUAGUGCAGUUGGGGGCGGGGAGGGGACGAGGUGCUCAGAAAAGACUUGCCUUCCUUCAAUGCUGGGCAUCUUAUCCCUCUUCCCAGAGAGUUAGAUUCAGUCAGCUAUGGCAGAGUUUUGUUCCCAACAGAGCCAGGCUUAAUUUCUGUGCACCUCACCUUGGGUCUGCAAGCAGCACUGAGAACUGCCGGGUGAUGGGUGAGAGGUCCCCGAACACAGUGGUCUUGACAGUGGCUGUGGCCCAGGAAAUGCAGAGCAUCUGGGAAGCCACUGCAGGCCACGCAGAAUCCGAGGAUCUGGAACUACCUUGGCAAACCAAAUCUUUGCCUCUCCAUGGUCCAUUUCUUUCAGUCACAAACGUAUUUGUUUCUGUAUAGUUGAGCAUUAAAGACAUUGAUUGUUUGCCUCAUGCCCAUAUAGAAUUCCCUAUUCU